Molecule: ribosomal RNA, 515 nt
Filed under: uncultured bacterium
Lineage: Bacteria
Description: partial 16S ribosomal RNA
Rfam family: Bacterial small subunit ribosomal RNA
Source: RNAcentral
GAUGAACGCUGGCGGCGUGCCUAAUACAUGCAAGUCGAGCGAAUGGAUUAAGAGCUUGCUCUUAUGAAGUUAGCGGCGGACGGGUGAGUAACACGUGGGUAACCUGCCCAUAAGACUGGGAUAACUCCGGGAAACCGGGGCUAAUACCGGCUAACAUUUUGAACCGCAUGGUUCGAAAUUGAAAGGCGGCUUCGGCUGUCACUUAUGGAUGGACUCGCACCACAUUAGCUGGUUGGUGAGGUAGCGGCGCACCAAGGCAACGAUGCGUAGCCGGCCUGAGAGGGGGACCAGACACACUGGGGCUGAGACUCCUCCCAAGCUCCAAGGGGAUACAGCAGUGGCGAAGCUGCCGCUAUGAACGAAAGUCUGGCGUAGCAGAGCCGCGUGAGUUAUGAAGGCUUUCGGGUCGUAAAACUCUGUUGUUAGGGAAUAACAAAUGCUAGUUGAAUAAGCUGGCACCUUUACGGUACCUAACCAGAAAGCCGCGGCUAACUACGUGCCAGCAGCCGCCGCCG